RNAcentral lists this ribosomal RNA (253 nucleotides) under uncultured bacterium. RNAcentral describes it as "partial 16S ribosomal RNA". It matches the Rfam family "Bacterial small subunit ribosomal RNA", at positions 524 to 776 of the family's 1533-position model. The record is from RNAcentral.
UACGUAGGGUGCGAGCGUUAAUCGGAAUUACUGGGCGUAAAGCGUGCGCAGGCGGUUAUGCAAGACAGAUGUGAAAUCCCCGGGCUCAACCUGGGAACUGCAUUUGUGACUGUAUAGCUAGAGUACGGUAGAGGGGGAUGGAAUUCCGCGUGUAGCAGUGAAAUGCGUAGAUAUGCGGAGGAACACCGAUGGCGAAGGCAGCCCCCUGGGCUAACACUGACGCUCAUGCACGAAAGCGUGGGGAGCAAACAGG